CCUACGGGGGGCUGCAGUGGGGAAUAUUGGACAAUGGGGGGAACCCUGAUCCAGCCAUGCCGCGUGUGUGAAGAAGGCCCUCGGGUUGUAAAGCACUUUCAGUGAGGAAGAACGCCUGGUGGUUAAUACCCAUCAGGAAAGACAUCACUCACAGAAGAAGCACCGGCUAACUCCGUGCCAGCAGCCGCGGUAAUACGGAGGGUGCGAGCGUUAAUCGGAAUUACUGGGCGUAAAGCGCGCGUAGGUGGCUUGAUAAGCCGGUUGUGAAAGCCCCGGGCUCAACCUGGGAACGGCAUCCGGAACUGUCAAGCUAGAGUGCAGGAGAGGAAGGUAGAAUUCCCGGUGUAGCGGUGGAAUGCGUAGAGAUCGGGAGGAAUACCAGUGGCGAAGGCGGCCUUCUGGACUGACACUGACACUGAGGUGCGAAAGCGUGGGUAGCAAACAGGAUUAGAUACCCGAGUAGUC
This 465-nucleotide ribosomal RNA is filed under the name Vreelandella stevensii. Its description in RNAcentral is "partial 16S ribosomal RNA". It matches the Rfam family "Bacterial small subunit ribosomal RNA", at positions 338 to 795 of the family's 1533-position model. The record is from RNAcentral. Lineage: Bacteria; Pseudomonadati; Pseudomonadota; Gammaproteobacteria; Oceanospirillales; Halomonadaceae.